UACGUAGGGUGCGAGCGUUGUCCGGAAUUAUUGGGCGUAAAGAGCUCGUAGGCGGUCUGUCGCGUCUGCUGUGAAAACCCGAGGCUCAACCUCGGGCCUGCAGUGGGUACGGGCAGACUAGAGUGCGGUAGGGGGAGAAUGGAAUUCCUGGUGUAGCGGUGGAAUGCGCAGAUAUCAGGAGGAACACCGAUGGCGAAGGCAGUUCUCUGGGCCGUAACUGACGCUGAGGAGCGAAAGCGUGGGGAGCGAACAGG
This 254-nucleotide ribosomal RNA is filed under the name uncultured bacterium. RNAcentral's name for it is "partial 16S ribosomal RNA". It matches the Rfam family "Bacterial small subunit ribosomal RNA", at positions 524 to 776 of the family's 1533-position model. The record is from RNAcentral.